This 69-nucleotide small RNA is filed under the name unclassified sequences. RNAcentral describes it as "Streptococcus sRNA SpF59 (ldcC RNA)". It matches the Rfam family "Streptococcus sRNA SpF59 (ldcC RNA)". The record is from Rfam by way of RNAcentral.
UGACCACUUUCUAAACGGUACUAUAACCUUAGAAAGUCAAGGCAUGCGGACAGCCGGGUCAAAUGCCGA